This 405-nucleotide ribosomal RNA is filed under the name Bacillota bacterium. Its description in RNAcentral is "Firmicutes bacterium partial 16S ribosomal RNA". It matches the Rfam family "Bacterial small subunit ribosomal RNA", at positions 355 to 776 of the family's 1533-position model. The record is from RNAcentral. Lineage: Bacteria; Bacillati; Bacillota.
UAGGGAAUCUUGCGCAAUGGGGGAAACCCUGACGCAGCGACGCCGCGCGCGGGAUGAAGGCCCUCGGGUUGUAAACCGCUUUCAGCAGGGACGAAAUUGACGGUACCUGCAGAAGAAGGCCCGGCCAACUACGUGCCAGCAGCCGCGGUAAUACGUAGGGGCCUAGCGUUGUCCGGAUUUAUUGGGCGUAAAGAGCUCGUAGGCGGUUCGGUAAGUCAGGUGUGAAAUCUCCACGCUCAACGUGGAGGCGCCACCUGAAACUGCCGUGACUCGAGUCCGAUAGGGGAGUGUGAUAUUCCCGGUGUAGCGGUGAGGUGCGCAGAUAUCGAGGGGAACACCAGUGGAGAAGGCGGCACUCUGGGCCGGUACUGACGCUGGGGAGCGAAAGCGUGGGGAGCGAACAGG